AAUAAAAAAAAAAUUGCAUAAAAAAUUGGCCAAUUUGCAUAAAAAAUUCACUUAUUUUGGGCUUUUGCAAAAUCGGGCCAUCUUUUUGGCUUUUGUAGAUUCGGUCCGCUUUUUCAACAAACUGACCAAAAUACCCUUAUACCUUUUUCUCUUUCCUCUUUCUCUCUCCUCUUUUUUUCUCUCGUUCUUUUUUCUUUUUCUUCCCAGAGAGCGGCGAAGACGGAGCGGAGGUGCCCUUAUACCUUUUUCUUUUCUCUUUUUUCUCUCGUUUUUUUUUUU
This 279-nucleotide long non-coding RNA is filed under the name Ananas comosus (pineapple). Its description in RNAcentral is "long non-coding RNA (ACOM_LNC025274)". The record is from RNAcentral. Lineage: Eukaryota; Viridiplantae; Streptophyta; Magnoliopsida; Poales; Bromeliaceae.